This 96-nucleotide ribosomal RNA is filed under the name Kiritimatiellia bacterium. RNAcentral describes it as "Kiritimatiellae bacterium (gut metagenome) partial 23S ribosomal RNA". It matches the Rfam family "Bacterial large subunit ribosomal RNA", at positions 2830 to 2925 of the family's 2925-position model. Lineage: Bacteria; Pseudomonadati; Kiritimatiellota; Kiritimatiellia. The record is from RNAcentral.
AAGUCAGGUCGCAGACCACGACCUCGAUAGGCCGCGGGUGUCAGCGUCGCGAGACGUUGAGCCGAGCGGUCCUAAUAAGACGUGAGGCUUAGCUUG